RNAcentral lists this ribosomal RNA (1079 nucleotides) under Dunaliella salina. RNAcentral's name for it is "large subunit ribosomal RNA". The stretch from base 764 to 869 matches the Rfam family "Bacterial large subunit ribosomal RNA", at positions 2527 to 2632 of the family's 2925-position model. The record is from RNAcentral. Lineage: Eukaryota; Viridiplantae; Chlorophyta; Chlorophyceae; Chlamydomonadales; Dunaliellaceae.
UUUAAGUUUUAUCCAGUUGUUUAUCUGGGGCGGAUACCUUCAUUAAAGUAACGAGGGUAAACAAAGGCAUACUAAAAGUGAACUAUAAAGCUGUGCUUAACUGUGAGAAACACUAUUCAAGCAGAUGUAUAUUCAUAAAUGACUUAUGAAGAAGCAGGUAGUAAUGAACGGGUUUAUUUUAUUAAUAAAUCUAUCAACGGACAAAAGGUACGCCGGGGAUAACAGUAUAAGAUUGUCCCUAAUACAAAUAAUUGUGUUAUAUAAUAUUGGGUUAAAUUCAAGAAUAAUACAUAUAGUAUUUAACUUGAAGCAACAGUCUAAACUAGUACAUUAGUAUAAUAUAGACAAUGCUCAACGACUAAAAGCCCAACAACUUAAAAAACAACGGGUUGAUGACAUAGUCUGAACUUAAUAAUAAAUAUUAAGACUAACAUUAUUGAACAGGCUUAUACGAAUAGAGAGUUCAUAUCGACAUUCGUGUUUGGCACCUCAACAUAUAGGGGUAGAUAUUGUAUAUAUUACAUAUCUCUAUUUAGCUAUAUGUCGGGACAUUCUAAAUAAAGAACAAUCGGCAGGAAAUUAAUUAAAGUACGAGUCGGCCUCAUAUUAAUUAAAUCCUCAACGACUAUACGCUAAAGGUUAAUAUAAUUUUAACUGUAAUAUAGUCUGAACUAUUAAGUAAUUAAUAGAACAUUAUUUAUAUUGGUUAUAUUGGUUAUAUUGGUUAUAAGUAGGCUGAUAUAUAUAUUAAUUAACAUUAUUGCGAUGUUGAAUCAUCACGUCCUUAAGCUGUACAAGGUUUAAAGGGUUAGGGUGUUCACCUAUUAAAGUGGUACGUGAUUUGAGUUUACUACGUUGUGAGACAGUAGAGUUUCUAUCUUCUAACACACUUUUAUAACUACUAAGAGAUAAUAGUACGAAAGGACCCUUAUCUCCAAACCUCUGGUUUAGUUAUUGUGAAUAGCAUUGUAACAAAGCUAAGUUUGUCUUUUAAAGAAGUAGUGAUAAAAUACUUGUACAAAUGAACUAACGUAUUGUGUUUAUAUUAGCAAAUACGAAUAGAAUCAUAAUAAUAAUAA